Molecule: ribosomal RNA, 451 nt
Filed under: uncultured bacterium
Lineage: Bacteria
Description: bacterial SSU rRNA
Rfam family: Bacterial small subunit ribosomal RNA
Source: RNAcentral
AACGAACGCUGGCGGCAUGCCUAACACAUGCAAGUCGAACGAAGUCUUCGGACUUAGUGGCGCACGGGUGCGUAACGCGUGGGAAUCUGCCCUUGGGUGCGGAAUAACUUCUCGAAAGGGAUGCUAAUACCGCAUAAUGUCGUAAGACCAAAGAUUUAUCGCCCAAGGAUGAGCCCGCGUAAGAUUAGCUAGUUGGUGGGGUAAAAGCCUACCAAGGCGACGAUCUUUAGCUGGUCUGAGAGGAUGAUCAGCCACACUGGGACUGAGACACGGCCCAGACUCCUACGGGAGGCAACAGUGGGGAAUAUUGGACAAUGGGCGAAAGCCUGAUCCAGCAAUGCCGCGUGAGUGAUGAAGGCCCUAGGGUUGUAAAGCUCUUUUACCAGGGAUGAUAAUGACAGUACCUGGUAGAAUAAGCUCCGGCUAACUCCGUGCCAGCAGCCGCGGUAAU